Molecule: long non-coding RNA, 1006 nt
Organism: Ceratitis capitata (Mediterranean fruit fly)
Lineage: Eukaryota; Metazoa; Arthropoda; Insecta; Diptera; Tephritidae
Exons: 3
Source: RefSeq, a predicted model, not a curated record
GUAUAAUAUAUUUCUUGUUGCAAAGGCUUCAAACGUAUAGGACUUUGUAAAUGUUAUUACUGCUUACUUAAUUUCAUAUUAUUUAGCCAAUGGAAUUAGGCUAUUAUUAUUACGAGUGUCUUAAAAUUACACUAAUGUUCAUUUGCAAUUUAAACAGGAAUUCAGUUGUUCACUUAUUCACAUCCAAUUAGUUUUCUGUCUGUAAAUAACCCACUAUUCAAGAUUUAGAAAUAACAGUCGUUGAUUAAGUGCUUUUGCCUAACAUUGAUGUUAGUAUUUGAUAAAUAACUGAACAGAAAACAUACAAAAAUUGUGCAGAGAAAUAUCUCAAAGAGAAACACUACAUGUUAUACAGUGUUAUGUUUCUGUCAGUGAGAAACUCUAUAAAACAAAAGAAGGUUUGUGGGAGUUUAUCACCAUUUUUAACACCAUUUAUCCCACUGUGUUUGCAAACCGGUCAAAUGCAUCGCGUGCUGCGCCCAAUACCCGGACCAAAAAUCGGACUAUGAUAGCAAAUAGCUCACAGCUGUCCGCUAUAAUGGAGAAUAUACUCAAAAUCGGGACUUUAUCGCGUGAUUAAUAAUGCCACUUGUAUUUGACUUCUAAUAAGAUAAUUAGAACUGUUCAGAUAAUAAUAGUUAGAAAUUAUAUAUAUACAUAGUUAAGCACAUUUCUCAUAGUAUACAAAGUAAUUCUUGAUAGAAUGAUUAAUACAAUAAAUUCAUAUUUACAUGAAUUCAUGACUUAACUAUACUACUAUAAACACAUAUUAGACUUUUAAUAAUAUAAUAUAUAAAAGAUAUAUGUAAUACUUAAGUUCAUUCAGAGCGAUGUUGUACUUAAAUGCAAUAGUUAUUUAGGUCAAACUAACUGUAAUCAUACAUAUGUAGGUAUGUCCGAAUAAUAAUAUGAUAAUGAGGUUAACCAUAGUUAACUGUAAAACGCUAUUGAUUGCAAAGGCUACAUUAGGUAGUACGUAAUAUUCUACAAUUAAUACAUAUAUACA